This 500-nucleotide ribosomal RNA is filed under the name uncultured Phaeobacter sp. RNAcentral's name for it is "bacterial SSU rRNA". It matches the Rfam family "Bacterial small subunit ribosomal RNA", at positions 82 to 617 of the family's 1533-position model. Lineage: Bacteria; Pseudomonadati; Pseudomonadota; Alphaproteobacteria; Rhodobacterales; Roseobacteraceae. The record is from RNAcentral.
ACCUUCGGGUGGAGCGGCGGACGGGUUAGUAACGCGUGGGAGUAUACCCUUCACUAUGGAAUAGCCUCGGGAAACUGAGAGUAAUACCAUAUACGCCCUUCGGGGGAAAGAUUUAUCGGUGAAGGAUUAGCCCGCGUAAGAUUAGAUAGUUGGUGGGGUAAUGGCCUACCAAGUCUACGAUCUUUAGCUGGUUUUAGAGGAUGAUCAGCAACACUGGGACUGAGACACGGCCCAGACUCCUACGGGAGGCAGCAGUGGGGAAUCUUAGACAAUGGGCGAAAGCCUGAUCUAGCCAUGCCGCGUGAGUGAUGAAGGUCUUAGGAUCGUAAAGCUCUUUCGCUAGGGAUGAUAAUGACAGUACCUAGUAAAGAAGCCCCGGCUAACUCCGUGCCAGCAGCCGCGGUAAUACGGAGGGGGCUAGCGUUGUUCGGAAUUACUGGGCGUAAAGCGUACGUAGGCGGAUCAGAAAGUAUGGGGUGAAAUCCCAGGGCUUAACCCUG